CAGUCGCCACGGUAAUACGAAGGGGGCUAGCGUUGCUCGGAAUGACUGGGCGUAAAGGGCGCGUAGGCGGUUUGUACAGUUGGAUGUGAAAUUCCUGGGCUUAACCUGGGGGCUGCAUUCAAUACGUGCAAGCUUGAGUGUGGAAGAGGGUUGUGGAAUUCCCAGUGUAGAGGUGAAAUUCGUAGAUAUUGGGAAGAACACCGGUGGCGAAGGCGGCGACCUGGUCCAUUACUGACGCUGAGGCGCGAAAGCGUGGGGAGCAAACAGGAUUAGAUACCCCAGUAGUCCCUGUCUCUUAUAC
Molecule: ribosomal RNA, 301 nt
Filed under: uncultured bacterium
Lineage: Bacteria
Description: partial 16S ribosomal RNA
Rfam family: Bacterial small subunit ribosomal RNA
Source: RNAcentral